GGAGUUAGCCGGUGCUUCUUCUGCGAGUAACGUCACAGAUGUAAGGUAUUAACUUACACCCUUUCCUCCUCGCUGAAAGUGCUUUACAACCCGAAGGCCUUCUUCACACACGCGGCAUGGCUGCAUCAGGGUUUCCCCCCAUUGUGCAAUAUUCCCCACUGCUGCCUCCCGUAGGAGUCUGGGCCGUGUCUCAGUCCCAGUGUGGCUGAUCAUCCUCUCAGACCAGCUAGGGAUCGUCGCCUAGGUGAGCCUUUACCGUCACCUACUAGCUAAUCCCACCUGGGCUUAUCCAUCAGCGCAAGGCCCGAAGGUCCCCUGCUUUCCCCCGUAGGGCGUAUGCGGUAUUAGCAGUCGUUUCCAACUGUUAUCCCCCACAACUGGGCAAAUUCCCAGGCAUUACUCACCCGUCCGCCGCUCGUCAUCUUCAAAGCAAGCUUUGAAUGUUACCGCUCGACUUGCAUGUGUUAGGCCUGCCGCCAGCGUUCAAUCUGAGCCAUAUCAAACUCUGA
Molecule: ribosomal RNA, 509 nt
Filed under: uncultured bacterium
Lineage: Bacteria
Description: partial 16S ribosomal RNA
Source: RNAcentral